UGGGGAAUUUUGGACAAUGGGCGCAAGCCUGAUCCAGCAAUGCCGCGUGCAGGAUGAAGGCCUUCGGGUUGUAAACUGCUUUUGUACGGAGCGAAAAGGUCUGCCCUAAUACGGUGGGCUCAUGACGGUACCGUAAGAAUAAGCACCGGCUAACUACGUGCCAGCAGCCGCGGUAAUACGUAGGGUGCGAGCGUUAAUCGGAAUUACUGGGCGUAAAGCGUGCGCAGGCGGUUAUAUAAGACAGAUGUGAAAUCCCCGGGCUCAACCUGGGACCUGCAUUUGUGACUGUAUAGCUAGAGUACGGUAGAGGGGGAUGGAAUUCCGCGUGUAGCAGUGAAAUGCGUAGAUAUGCGGAGGAACACCGAUGGCGAAGGCAAUCCCCUGGACCUGUACUGACGCUCAUGCACGAAAGCGUGGGGAGCAAACA
This 427-nucleotide ribosomal RNA is filed under the name uncultured bacterium. Its description in RNAcentral is "bacterial SSU rRNA". It matches the Rfam family "Bacterial small subunit ribosomal RNA", at positions 355 to 774 of the family's 1533-position model. The record is from RNAcentral.